RNAcentral lists this transfer RNA (68 nucleotides) under Carabus arvensis. Its description in RNAcentral is "tRNA-Ser". Lineage: Eukaryota; Metazoa; Arthropoda; Insecta; Coleoptera; Carabidae. The record is from RNAcentral.
AGUUAAUGAACUUGAUAUAAGUAUAUGUUUUGAAAACAUAAAAAAGAGGCAAAUUCCUCUAUUAACUU